AGAAAAAUAACUAAAUCCUAAUUGGAAUAGGAAAACUAAAUGGAAUAAGAAAACUAUUAAAUUUAAAAGCUGUUGUCUUGCCCAGAAUAGGAAAGAACAUGGGUUUGGGUUGGAAGAGCACCAUGGGCCAUGUUUUGGCCUGCCACUUCUCUUCUCAGUCCAGUAAGGAACAUGCUAGGGGUGUGUUCUUCUCUGGUUGGUGUGGGACUUUCUUCAUUUGCUUCUUCAAUUGCUUCUCCCAUUUUCCCAAAAAUCCCUCACUAAUCUCUUCCAUGUUAUACUCUUAUGGGAGAAAUAUUUUUUGUAAGGAAUAAUGGGCACUGAAGUUUAUUUUUCCUCUGGUAGAUUGAUACGAAUCACCACUACCACAAUAAUUAGUAUAGAUGAGUUUCAAGUUUCAACCGCUGUCCAUCUAUCUCUAACCCCGAAACACAAAUACAAACCAAACACAUAACUGUUACUCUCGUAAUUUUUUACCCAUCAUAUAACUUCUCGCCUUCAAUUUUUGUUUUAACCCUUUGUGAAAUGCACACUUGAUGCUGAAGUUGUCAUAGGCUCUACAAACUAGGAAUUGCUAAGAACAUGUUCAUGUAACAAUGCGAGAAACGGUACCUAAUAUUGUUGGAAACCUUAAGACAGUGGGGAAAUGUAUGCAUCAAGGAAAAGGAGAGCUAGAGAAGAAGAGCAAAUGAGGUUCUGUAGUAACAUAAACUUAAGGGAUGGGGUGAGGCCCUGGGCAAUGUAGGGCUUGUUCGGCAUUUCUGUUCUAUUUUGCUAUUGCUGCUUUAAAAUUGAUGAUUAUAAAACUGUUGUUUUGAAAAAGUAAUUUACCUAUUUGGUAAUAAAAUACAAAGUUGUUGUUAAUAAAGAAAGAUGUUUAUCAUGUGUUUGGUAAAAAUGGCUGUUUAAAAUGCUGUUAAGGACAAAAUGACUAAAAAG
This 939-nucleotide unclassified non-coding RNA is filed under the name Hevea brasiliensis (rubber tree). Lineage: Eukaryota; Viridiplantae; Streptophyta; Magnoliopsida; Malpighiales; Euphorbiaceae. The record is from RNAcentral.